CUUUACUAUAGCUUGACACUGAACAUUGAGCCUUGAUGUGUAGGAUAGGUGGGAGGCUUUGAAGCGUGGACGCCAGUCUGCGUGGAGCCGACCUUGAAAUACCACCCUUUAAUGUUUGAUGUUCUAACGUGGACCCGUAAUCCGGGUUGCGGACAGUGUCUGGUGGGUAGUUUGACUGGGGCGGUCUCCUCCUAAAGAGUAACGGAGGAGCACGAAGGUUGGCUAAUCCUGGUCGGACAUCAGGAGGUUAGUGCAAUGGCAUAAGCCAGCUUGACUGCGAGCGUGACGGCGCGAGCAGGUGCGAAAGCAGGUCAUAGUGAUCCGGUGGUUCUGAAUGGAAGGGCCAUCGCUCAACGGAUAAAAGGUACUCCGGGGAUAACAGGCUGAUACCGCCCAAGAGUUCAUAUCGACGGCGGUGUUUGGCACCUCGAUGUCGGCUCAUCACAUCCUGGGGCUGAAGUAGGUCCCAAGGGUAUGGCUGUUCGCCAUUUAAAGUGGUACGCGAGCUGGGUUUAGAACGUCGUGAGACAGUUCGGUCCCUAUCUGCCGUGGGCGCUGGAGAACUGAGGGGGGCUGCUCCUAGUACGAGAGGACCGGAGUGGACGCAUCACUGGUGUUCGGGUUGUCAUGCCAAUGGCACUGCCCGGUAGCUAAAUGCGGAAGAGAUAAGUGCUGAAAGCAUCUAAGCACGAAACUUGCCCCGA
This 704-nucleotide ribosomal RNA is filed under the name Salmonella enterica subsp. enterica serovar Derby. RNAcentral describes it as "partial 23S ribosomal RNA". It matches the Rfam family "Bacterial large subunit ribosomal RNA", at positions 2099 to 2802 of the family's 2925-position model. The record is from RNAcentral. Lineage: Bacteria; Pseudomonadati; Pseudomonadota; Gammaproteobacteria; Enterobacterales; Enterobacteriaceae. RNAcentral also lists the same sequence under 2 other names.